RNAcentral lists this ribosomal RNA (207 nucleotides) under uncultured bacterium. RNAcentral's name for it is "partial 16S ribosomal RNA". It matches the Rfam family "Bacterial small subunit ribosomal RNA", at positions 568 to 774 of the family's 1533-position model. The record is from RNAcentral.
CGCGUAGGUGGUUAGGUAAGCGAGAUGUGAAAGCCCCGGGCUUAACCUGGGAACGGCAUUUCGAACUGUCUGACUAGAGUAUGGUAGAGGGUAGUGGAAUUUCCUGUGUAGCGGUGAAAUGCGUAGAUAUAGGAAGGAACACGAGUGGCGAAGGCGGCUACCUGGACCAAUACUGACACUGAGGUGCGAAAGCGUGGGGAGCAAACA